UAGUCUUAUUUAUGAUUUUGAGCGUAGAGUGCUUUGAAUCAUCUGCAUGCACUGUGUAUAGGUCUAUUUCUGUCGCAGUUCAAUGUGCCUUCCCGUGAUUUUUACUACAAGCGUGUACUUGUGAUUCUUUCCGGAUGACGUAGUAACCCUAUAGAUAGCGGUAUUCGAAGGAGUCGGUGACGCUGGUUUUAAAAAGCUUCCUUUAUGGUUCCUCGAGAACAUCCUCAUUUGAACUGUCGUCUUGUCCGAUCGUUGAAGCUUCUAAAAUAUUAUCAAGAGAAUGCAGCUUAUUUGGCUCAGCUGUUUGGUGUUUCUCUGGUCAUCGGUCGCAGGAGAACAAGACUUGAUGUGUGAUCCUGAUGGAUGCUGUACGGAGGAAAAGCUGGGCUGUGGAGAUUGUGAUGAAGUUAUUAACGAAUUUGGGCAAGUACACUGUGAGUGCUGGACAUGUCAACCAGGAAUUUGCCAUGAUUAUUUAGUGAAAAAUGGCAAUGAUAAUAUGUUCUCAUCUUCAUCCAAUACAUUUGGAAUGGAGGCUGAAAAUGCCAGGCUAGUGACGGAAGAGAACUCUCCUGAUGAAUGGCUAUAUUUCUUCGGCUGGCAGCCCGAAGAAAACGAUACAUCCCCGUGGUUGCAGGUAGAUUUGACGAAGAAGCAUCACAUAUCAGGAAUAGAGACUCGAGGCAAUCCGUUCGGAGAUGAGUUUGUGUCAGCUUAUAAAGUGAUGGUUAGCAUGGAUAAUACGCAUUGGCGCAGCGUUGGUGGUCCUGAAUAUGACGACGGGCUAUUCGUUGGAAACUCUGAUGGGAAUUCAUCAACAACCAACUACUUUGAUUCGCCGGUGUUUGUACGUUCUCUACGCGUGUAUCCAUUAGCAUGGGAAAGCCAGAUAGUCCUACGUCUAGAUUUACUAGGAUGCUUGACAAUGCCGACAAUUACGACGACAAAGGAGCCAACAGAUGUAAACAAUAUCAACAUUUCUGUUUACCUAAUCGGUGGGAUCUGCUUUACGCUAUUGUUGGCUCUCAUUAUGGUUGUUUGCUUAAUCAAUACGCCAAGACGUCGUAAAGUCAUUAUAAACCAAGACAGUCCGAACUCAUUUGUGGCUACCCCGCCUGGUUCAAUUGCAAGCUCGCCGACGUCGGCCUCAUCCGGUGAUACGUCUUUUCCUAAUCCCGCAUUCGCUACCAGUCAGAAGUCUCUAUUACCGAAUGAGGGCAGCAGACAGCGCUGUGAAUCAAAUCCAUACAUUCAAGUAUCUUUCCUAAAAAACAAUGAAAAUCCAGCAAUGAAAAAAUGUUUACAACAAACUGAAAUCAGAUAAAUAAUAUGCCAUAAAAUACGUGUUUAUUUUUGGCAGCAUGAAUUGUUAUUUUUUUUUUCAUUUUUAUAUUUUUCAUUGUAUAUUAUUAUUAUCGUUAUUGUUUAUUAUUAAAUACAUGUAGACUGAAUCGGCGGCUCGGGUCACGUGACUUAUAGUAGGUAUUAGGGUUUGUUUACAUUUAUCGAGAUCGCGAGACGAUAGUGCAUUGAAUAUGGCUUCGCCUUGUUGAUGCAAGUCACAUCAUAGAUGUUGCAAAUGUUGUUUGGAAUGCGAGUUAUAAUUUGGUAAAUCACUUAGAAGUGUUCCAAAAUUAAAUUUUCAAACACUUAUCAAUUUGGUUUGGUAAGGAUCCAAUGGAUAGUGGGAAUAAAGCCUGGAUUUUUUUCAAGGAAAGGCACGUACCUUCACGACGUGCAUAUUUGCUCCAGUGAGUCAACGCCGGCUGAGGAUAGAAUGGUCAGGCACCAGUUUCACUCGAGCUCCUGUGAAUUUUGUACCGGUGAGCUGUCAAUUAUGAGAGCUUCAAAGUGCUGGAGAACUGAGCUGUCAAUCAAUCAAUAAAUUUAUUAGGAAUAACACUUCAAGAUCGGUGGUGCACAUAAUGGUGGUGCUUUCAAAUUAACAGUUUUUACAGAAAAUAAGCAAACUUUCAUAACUAGGCUUACAGAAACACAAUUUUUAAGUAAAAUGUUUAACAUAAAUAAAUAAAUUCAAUCAAACAGGUAAAAAAAAAAAUCUGUGUAAAUGAUUCCUCUUGCGUUUAGUUGGUAUCCUUCAUUUUAUUGGUUACUGUUUGGAUAUUUUAUGGUUUCAUUCAAUUUCUUGUGUUCAUUUUGUGUA
Molecule: unclassified non-coding RNA, 2164 nt
Filed under: Anneissia japonica
Lineage: Eukaryota; Metazoa; Echinodermata; Crinoidea; Comatulida; Comatulidae
Description: adipocyte enhancer-binding protein 1-like, transcript variant X1
Source: RNAcentral